RNAcentral lists this ribosomal RNA (449 nucleotides) under uncultured bacterium. RNAcentral's name for it is "bacterial SSU rRNA". It matches the Rfam family "Bacterial small subunit ribosomal RNA", at positions 8 to 434 of the family's 1533-position model. The record is from RNAcentral.
AGAGUUUGAUCCUGGCUCAGAGUGAACGCUGGCGGCCAGUGCCUAAUACAUGCAAGUCGAACGGCAGCACAGUGGAGCUUGCUCCAUGGGUUGGCGAGUGGCGGACGGGUGAGGAAUACAUGGGAAUCUGCCCAGUCGUGGGGGAUACACGUAUGGAAACGUACGCUAAUACCGCAUGCGCCCUUCGGGGGAAAGUCGGGGACCGCAAGGCCUGACGCGAUUGGAUGAGGCCCAUGUUCAGAUUAGCUAGUUGGCGGGGUAAACGGCCACCAAAGGCGACGAUCGAUAGCUUGGUCUGAGAGGAUGAUCAGCCACACAUGGAACUGAGACACGGUCCAAGACUCCUACGCGGAGGCAGCCACGUAGGGAAUAUUGGACAAUGGGCGCAAGCCUGAUCCAGCCAUGCCGCCGUGAGUGAAGAACGGCCCAUCGAGGUUGUAAAAGCAUCU